UACGGGAGGCAGCAGUGGGGAAUAUUGCACAAUGGGCGCAAGCCUGAUGCAGCCAUGCCGCGUGUAUGAAAAAGGCCUUCGGGUUGUAAAGUACUUUCAGUCGUGAGGAAGGUGUUAAGGUUAAUAACCUUAGCAAUUGACGUUAGCGACAGAAGAAGCACCGGCUAACUCCGUGCCAGCAGCCGCGGUAAUACGGAGGGUGCGAGCGUUAAUCGGAAUUACUGGGCGUAAAGGGCACGCAGGCGGUUAAUUAAGUUGGAUGUGAAAUCCCCGGGCUUAACCUGGGAAUGGCAUUCAAGACUGGUUAGCUAGAGUCUUGUAGAGGGGGUAGAAUUCCAUGUGUAGCGGUGAAAUGCGUAGAGAUGUGGAGGAAUACCGGUGGCGAAGGCGGCCCCUGGCAAAGACUGACGCUCAUGUGCGAAAGCGUGGGGAGCAAACAGGAUUAGAUACC
Molecule: ribosomal RNA, 451 nt
Filed under: uncultured bacterium
Lineage: Bacteria
Description: bacterial SSU rRNA
Rfam family: Bacterial small subunit ribosomal RNA
Source: RNAcentral